AUCCUGACCUCUCUAAGCAUUUUCUAAAUCUCAAAUAUCAAACUGAUGAUCUUAUUACAAAUUCCAAAACUCUCAGUAAGCAAAGUUCUGAACUUUGCUUCAUAUUUACCUCUUUUCACCACACAUAGAUCUAGCAGCUUGCAGAGCAAAAUAGGUGAGGAUGAUAUACGCACCUGCCCUUCUCAGACACAACAGUGUUUCCAUCAUUACCUUUUCUUCAUAUUUCCCACUUGCCUUUAUUAUCAUUAAGUACUCUACUGAAACCUGGACACCAUUCAUGAAACCCAAAUUUUUACAACACAACCUAUCUACACGAAAUCAAUAGAAUUCCUCUGUAGAAGCAACCACAAAUACCUGAAAUGCGGCAAUCGGCAAAAGUGAAUUGUCUCUGAUUUGCCUGAUGAUAUCCAAGCAUGGAAGAGCAGGUUUUACCUGUUACUAACAACCAUGCAGCUUAAUUUAGCAAUGAGAUAUGGAAUAUUUAUGUAUAAAUUCACCAUCGGCUGUAUAACAGUGAAUUUUGAUUUUAGGGGUAUUCGCGUCAUUUCAUGUACCAAAUUCAAAUGUUAGGGUGUUUGUAAGUAAAAGUUAGGGCGUCAUAGCAAUCCCCUUUUUAUUGGGUAAUUCUUUUGCACAAUUUUAUAUUCAUGUGUGUUUCAUUGCUAUAAAUUCCGAUAACUAUUUAAUAGCAGUAAGUUAGUUUGAGCACGAAACACUCAGUCAUUGUUUUUUUUAUUUGUACACCUAUUUUAAUGUCGAAUUCGGCAAUCCAAGGAAUAUUUCAAACGAAGUUCUCAUUUAAAAUGAUGUUGACAACCGAACUAGUAUUUCUUUGGGUGUGUGGUACUUAUCCUUCUCCUUAUUUGGGAAACCAGUAGUAAACUAGUAUAUACUGUAUUUCAAUUUCAACUUCAAGUUUCACAAAGUUACUGUGAACUAGUACUGUUUUGGUGUGCGAUACAUAGCAUUUUUCAUUUGUGCGGAAUCAUACAUUGAUCAAUUACACUUGAUUUUGAUUGCAACUUGAUCUUUAUAGGGUAUAUUUAUACACACAUAAGAUGUGAUUGUAGUAUUGUAAAAUUCAUAAAAAGUACGAGAUGUUGAUAGGAAUUCGCAGCUUAUCGAAUGUAUAAUUCACAAGUGCUCACUUACCAUGCCAAAUGUAUAAUCAUACCAAGUUAACAAUAGUACAACUUUCAGAAUUCAUUUCUUCAAUUGUACAACCUUCUACAUUGACUACUUUGUCUACCGACGGUAGACCGUACACACUAUGAACAAUCUUCUUCGGUUAUCUUCGAUGUCUUUGGUUUCUCGAACUUUGUGACCAUUUUUUUGAAGAUUAGCAAGUGGGAUUGUGGGAAUUUUGAGAGAAUAUAAGCUUUCGAGAACCCUCAAGAUGAGCAAGUCGAAAUUCUAGAGGAUGUGUCCACAUUAUUGUAAUUUCAGGGUUCUGAACAACUCAAACAUAUAAAAUUAUUCACCGCAUACAACAGGGUUUUGAUUUUAUUUAUAAAACUUAAUUUACCUCCAUUUCUCCUUUUAGUUCAUUCGUUGGCACAAACCAAAAAGCUUGAGAAACAGUGAAACCAGACACUAGCAAACGUCAUAUCUUAUUACAAGUUGCAAAAACCUCACUCAGUAAGCAAGCUCUGAACUUUCGAUUCAUAUUUACCUCUUUUCACCACACAUGGAUCUAGCAGCUUGCAGAGCAAAAUAGGUGAGGAUGAUAUCAGCACCUGCCCUUCUCAAACACAACAGUGACUCCAUCAUCACCUUUUC
This 1779-nucleotide long non-coding RNA is filed under the name Linum usitatissimum (flax). Its description in RNAcentral is "long non-coding RNA (LUSI_LNC006071)". The record is from RNAcentral. Lineage: Eukaryota; Viridiplantae; Streptophyta; Magnoliopsida; Malpighiales; Linaceae.